Molecule: ribosomal RNA, 2182 nt
Filed under: human gut metagenome
Description: bacterial LSU rRNA
Rfam family: Bacterial large subunit ribosomal RNA
Source: RNAcentral
AGAGCGCAGGGAGGAUGCCUUGGCAUCAGGAGCCGAAGAAGGACGUGGUAAGCUGCGAAAAGCUACGGGGAUUGGCAAGCACGAUAUGAUCCGUAGAUGUCCGAAUGGAGCAAUCCACAUGGAGUCAAGUCCAUGUAUCAUAUACUGAAUAAAUAGGUAUAUGAGGGGAACCGCCCGAACUGAAACAUCUAAGUAGGGCGAGGAAAAGAAAUCAACCGAGAUUCUGUGAGUAGUGGCGAGCGAAAGCGGAAGAGGCUAAACCGAGAGGAGCAAUCCUUUCGGGGUUUAGGACUGCAUUUAGUACAACGAUUGUUAACCGAACAGCAUGGGAAGGCUGAUCAAAGAAGGUGAGAAUCCUGUAGGUGAAAACGAAAGUUGACGAGCAGUAUCCAAAGUACCGCGGGGCACGUGAAAUCCCGUGGGAAGAUGGGGGGACCAUCCUCCAAGCCUAAAUACUACCUGAUGACCGAUAGCGAAUAGUACUGUGAAGGAAAGGUGAAAAGCACCCCGGGAGGGGAGUGAAAGAGAACCUGAAACCCUGUGCUUACAAGCACUUAGAGCACGUCAAAGUGUGAUAAGGUACCUAUUGUAGAAUGGUCCGGCGAGUUAUUGUAUGCAGCGAGGUUAAGUAGUUCAGCUACGGAGCCGAAGUGAGAGCGAGUGUUAACAGCACGUUCAGUUGCAUGCAAUAGACCCGAAACCGGGUGACCUAUCCAUGUCCAGGAUGAAGUGAGGGUAAAACCUCAUGGAGGUCCGAACCCACUCCCGUUGAAAUGGUAGGGGAUGAGGUGUGGAUAGCGGAGAAAUUCCAAUCGAACCCGGAUAUAGCUGGUUCUCCCCGAAAUAGUUUUAGGACUAGCCUCGUGAUUAAGAUUAUCGGAGGUAAAGCACUGAAUGGCCUAGGGGUCGAGAGAUUACCGAAGCCUAUCAAACUCUGAAUGCCGAAUAAUCAUGCACGGGAGUCAGACUGUGUGAGAUAAGUUUCAUAGUCGAAAGGGAAACAGCCCAGACCUACAGCUAAGGUCCCAAAGUACGUUUAAGUGGAAAACGAUGUGAAAUUGCGUAGACAACCAGGAUGUUGGCUUAGAAGCAGCCAUACAUUAAAAGAGUGCGUAAUAGCUCACUGGUCGAGUGACUUUGCGCGGAAAAUUUAACGGGGCUAAAACGUACACCGAAGCUUAGGCUUGUCACAAUGUGACAGGGGUAGGGGAGCGUUGAAUGAGGGGUGAAGUCGUAGCGAAAGCGACGGUGGACUUCAUUCAAGUGAGAAUGCCGGAAUGAGUAGCGAGAAUUAUGUGAGAAUCAUAAUGGCCGAAAGCCUAAGGUUUUUGGAGGAAGGUUCGUCCGCUCCAAGUAAGUCGGAAGCUAAGGUGAGGCUGAAAAGCGUAGCCGAUGCACAAACGGUUGAAAUUCCGUUACCACAGAAAGAUUUAAACUAAGGGACACUUUUGAAGAGCUGAUGCCGGGUGUUGGUUACCCCGGUCGUAAGGGAACGAAAUUAAGUAGUGAAGUCAGCGUGGAUGAAGGCGAGAAAAGCUUAGUGUAUAUCUUAUGUGUCCGUACCGCAAACCGACACAGGUAGGUAGGAAGAGAAUUCUAAGGCCAACGGGAGAAGGGUAGUUAAGGAACUCGGCAAAAUGUCCCCGUAACUUCGGAAUAAGGGGAGGUUUCUACGGAAACCCGCAGAGAAUAGUCCCAGGCAACUGUUUAUCAAAAACACAGCUCUAUGCUAAAUCGAAAGAUGACGUAUAUGGGGUGACGCCUGCCCGGUGCCGGAAGGUUAAGAGGAGGAGUGAGAGCCCUGAAUCGAAGCCCCGGUAAACGGCGGCCGUAACUAUAACGGUCCUAAGGUAGCGAAAUUCCUUGUCAGGUAAGUUCUGACCCGCACGAAUGGCGUAAUGAUCUGGGAGCUGUCUCAACUGCCCGCCCGGCGAAAUUGUAGUACCGGUGAAGAUGCCGGUUACCCGCGACUAGACGGAAAGACCCCAUGGAGCUUUACUGUAGCUUAAUAUUGGAUUUCGGCAUUUCAUGUACAGGAUAGGUGGGAGACUAGGAAACAUAGGCGUCAGCUUAUGUGGAGUCGUCCUUGGGAUACCACUCUUGGAGUGCUGAAAUUCUAACCUGCAGCCCUGAAUCGGGUUGGGGGACAUUGUUAGGUGGGCAGUUUGACUGGGGCGGUCGC